Long non-coding RNA from Cebus imitator (Panamanian white-faced capuchin), 1859 nucleotides. RefSeq lists it as uncharacterized. The transcript is spliced from 5 exons. The record is from RefSeq and is a predicted model, not a curated record. NCBI's taxonomy places the organism in Eukaryota, Metazoa, Chordata, Mammalia, Primates, Cebidae.
AUAGUGAUGAUUUCAAUUAUAAUUUUCUGUCUCAUUGAGAUGUAUUGUCAUAGAAGGGCACCAAAGGAAGAUGAAGAAGGAUUCUCAAGGGGCAUUUCCAGACGUCUGCCACACAGGACAUGCUCAUCGAAAAGUGCGACUCAGGGUGGCUUUUUCUGAUUAAGAUGGCCACUCUGGCUUAGGGAUACGUACAGACCUCUCAGUGCCACACGCGUGAAAAACAUGACACGGAAGCUGCAUGACAAGGAGUCUUCCAAUGAGGACGAGAUCUUCAACAGGGACACUGCUGACAGUGAAGCCCCAACAGAGAAGACUCCAACUGGAGGGUCUGCUGCUGAGGGGUAGGAGAGUGAGGCCCUGCCGUAGGAGAACACUGAGUGACCCCAGCCCACCUCAGGCCUCCUGCAAAAUACUUAUUUUUCUCAUAUCAAAUAAUAUAAUUCUAGCCAUGCAGUAUGACAUUUAAAUGUGUAGUUAAAUAUUUGUGCAUAAAUAACAAGGACCAUCAGAAAGAAAAACAGUACUGAAGCCAGCGGCCCACAAAUCCACCAGAGGCAGCAGGCAGAGGAAGCACAUCCACCAGAGGCAGCGGGCAGGGGAAGCGCAUCCACCGGAGGCAGCGGGCAGGGGAAGCACAGCAGGCAGGGGAAGUGCAUCCACCAGAGGCAGCGGGCAGGGGAGGCACAGGGCCAUCUUGCCCUUCUUUGUUUCCGAGUCUAAUUAGUCACCCAGACCUGAAAACAUACCCUCAGCGGGUGGAGAUUUUACAUUUAAAUACCGUUGUUCUUGGUGCCUUCUCCCCUGGUUCAUCAAGCACCAGUCAUACAAUACAACAUACCUGACCUCCCACCCACAGGGAACCUCCCACCUCUGAUCCUUGCUAGGGAUCAGUUUCAGGGCCUCACAGAUCAAGUGUGAGGUGUUAAAUGUAGAAACAUUAACUCGCCAGUCUAAUGGGGAAACAGACAUGUAAACAAACAAAGCAGGUACAGGCAUUCCAGACAUAACAUUGUGUGCAAGGGCAUGGUGGGGUGAAAUAGGUGGAGGGGGCAGGUAGCACAAGACUUUGGCCCUGUGAGAGUCCCACGUACAUCGGGGAGAAUGAUGGCAGAGGAGGCUUUAAGUAGUCAGAGAUCUUGGGUACCUUGCACACUGGGCUCCUAGAGAUGGGGUAUACUCGAGAGUUUCAGGAACGGAAGAGGUCACAUUUGCAUUUCGAAUUGCACAUUUCAUCAGUUUUGAGGAGCAUGAUGCUGGGAGCCUGAGAUACUAAUUACAGAUUGAUCAUAAGAGACAGGACAAGAACCGAGAUGUGGCAGUGCAGAUGAUAAGGAGAGAGAGAGGAAGCAAAGAGAUCAACCAAGCUCUGACCUAGGUGCCCUAAUGCCAUUAUCCAGGCUAGGAAAUGGAGGGAAAGGGCAGAUAAUGAGCGUAGUCAAGCAAGCCUGGUCCAAUGGCACUUGCAAGAGAAAGUGUCCAGAAGGCAGGCGAAUAAACUAACUUGGUGCUCAGGUGGGAACUCGUCUAGAUUUAGAUCUGGCACUUUUAGACUGUGGCAGAUAGUAUGAGCGUGGCUAAGAUCAUCUAGGGAAGAUUGGGUGGGAAGGCCAAAGCUUUGGGGAAUGUCAGUAUUUAAUGAAGGUCAUGGGGCCAAUGAGGAGGGAGACUGAGAAGGGGUGUUUGGGCCAGCAGAGAUUCUAGCCAACAUGAAGAUGUCUCAAGGUUUGUUUCUUCUGGGCCUGGGAGCCUCAGGCCCAGAUCAAAUUUUUGUUUGUUUUUAUUUUUGAGACAGGAUCUUGCUCCAUUGCCCAGGCUAGAGUCCAGUGGCUCAGUCUCGCUGCAACCUCUGACUCCCUGGC